This 224-nucleotide unclassified non-coding RNA is filed under the name Hevea brasiliensis (rubber tree). The record is from RNAcentral. Lineage: Eukaryota; Viridiplantae; Streptophyta; Magnoliopsida; Malpighiales; Euphorbiaceae.
GGAAACUAAACAUGAGGAGCUGCCUCAACAAACACCUACUAAAGUUGAUCAACCAAGGAUGGUCACAUCCAAUAAUCAAAGUGGUGAGGUGGUUAUGCCGGAUGCUCGAGUGCGACACCUUAGGGAUCAGUUGAUACGGGCAAGGGUUUAUCUCAGCCUUGGUGCCACCCGAAGCAAUGCACACUUUAUCAGGGAGCUCCGUGGGCGAAUAAGAGAUGUUCAAC